GAAGGUAUAGUUCAGUGAUAGAGUGCACGCUUAGCAUGCAUGAGGUCAUGGGUUCAAUCCCUAGUACCUCCG
RNAcentral lists this transfer RNA (72 nucleotides) under Camelus ferus (Wild Bactrian camel). It matches the Rfam family "tRNA". From Rfam's summary of the family: Transfer RNA (tRNA) molecules are approximately 80 nucleotides in length. Their secondary structure includes four short double-helical elements and three loops (D, anti-codon, and T loops). Lineage: Eukaryota; Metazoa; Chordata; Mammalia; Artiodactyla; Camelidae. The record is from Rfam by way of RNAcentral.